UACGUAGGGUGCAAGCGUUGUCCGGAAUUAUUGGGCGUAAAGAGCUCGUAGGCGGUCUGUUGCGUCGGCUGUGAAAACCCGGGGCUCAACUCCGGGCCUGCAGCCGAUACGGGCAGACUAGAGUUCGGCAGGGGAGACUGGAAUUCCUGGUGUAGCGGUGAAAUGCGCAGAUAUCAGGAGGAACACCGGUGGCGAAGGCGGGUCUCUGGGCCGAUACUGACGCUGAAGCGCGAAAGCUAGGGGAGCGAACGGG
RNAcentral lists this ribosomal RNA (253 nucleotides) under uncultured bacterium. RNAcentral describes it as "partial 16S ribosomal RNA". It matches the Rfam family "Bacterial small subunit ribosomal RNA", at positions 524 to 776 of the family's 1533-position model. The record is from RNAcentral.